Molecule: ribosomal RNA, 794 nt
Filed under: uncultured Thermococcus sp.
Lineage: Archaea; Methanobacteriati; Methanobacteriota; Thermococci; Thermococcales; Thermococcaceae
Description: bacterial SSU rRNA
Rfam family: Archaeal small subunit ribosomal RNA
Source: RNAcentral
ACGGCUCAGUAACACGUCGGUAACCUACCCUCGGGAGGGGGAUAACCCCGGGAAACUGGGGCUAAUUCCCCAUAGGCCUGAGGUACUGGAAGGUCCUCAGGCCGAAAGGGACUUAUGUCCGCCCGAGGAUGGGCCGGCGGCCGAUUAGGUAGUUGGUGGGGUAAUGGCCCACCAAGCCGAAGAUCGGUACGGGCUGUGAGAGCAGGAGCCCGGAGAUGGACACUGAGACACGGGUCCAGGCCCUACGGGGCGCAGCAGGCGCGAAACCUCCGCAAUGCGGGAAACCGCGACGGGGGGACCCCGAGUGCCGUGGCAACGCCACGGCUUUUCCGGAGUGUAAAAAGCUCCGGGAAUAAGGGCUGGGCAAGGCCGGUGGCAGCCGCCGCGGUAAUACCGGCGGCCCGAGUGGUGGCCGCUAUUAUUGGGCCUAAAGCGUCCGUAGCCGGGCCCGUAAGUCCCUGGCGAAAUCCCACGGCUCAACCGUGGGGCUUGCUGGGGAUACUGCGGGUCUUGGGACCGGGAGAGGCGGGGGGUACCCCUGGGGUAGGAGUGAAAUCCUACAAUCCCAGGGGGACCGCCAGUGGCGAAGGCGCCCCGCUGGAACGGGUCCGGCGGUGAGGGACGAAGGCCAGGGGAGCAAACCGGAUUAGAUACCCGGGUAGUCCUGGCUGUAAAGGAUGCGGGCUAGGUGUCGGGUGAGCCUCGAGCUCGCCCGGUGCCGUAGGGAAGCCGUUAAGCCCGCCGCCUGGGGAGUACGGCCGCAAGGCUGAAACUUAAAGGAAUUGGCGGGGGAG